Molecule: ribosomal RNA, 293 nt
Filed under: uncultured bacterium
Lineage: Bacteria
Description: partial 16S ribosomal RNA
Rfam family: Archaeal small subunit ribosomal RNA
Source: RNAcentral
GUGCCAGCCGCCGCGGUAAUACCGGCAGCUCAAGUGAUGGCCACUCUUAUUGGGCCUAAAGCGUCCGUAGCUGGCUGCGCAAGUCCGUCGGGAAAUCCACUCGCCCAACGAGUGGGCGUCCGACGGAAACUGCACAGCUUGGGACCGGAAGGCUCGAAGGGUACGUUCGGGGUAGGAGUGAAAUCCCGUAAUCCCGGACGGACUACCGAUGGCGAAAGCACUCUGAGAAGACGGCUUCGACAGUGAGGGACGAAAGCGCGGGUCUCAAACCGGAUUAGAAACCCCGGUAGUCC